This 18876-nucleotide long non-coding RNA is filed under the name Manihot esculenta (cassava). Its description in RNAcentral is "long non-coding RNA (MESC_LNC008929)". The record is from RNAcentral. Lineage: Eukaryota; Viridiplantae; Streptophyta; Magnoliopsida; Malpighiales; Euphorbiaceae.
CAUUAGGAGUGGUGUUAUAAAAGCAAAGUUGAAAGGGCUGGGCAAACGGGUCUAAGACUCGGUAAUCGGGACCAUACUCCACAACAUAAUCCCCAAAUUCACCUUCAUUAACAUACUUGAAGGUUGCAGAAGGAGGAACAGAGGCUUGAGCGAUGGCGAAGGAUAAGCAAAGAGAGAGCAAUAGUUGGUGAAGAGAAAACAUUUUGGUUUGCUUGCUAGUUUUUGGGUUUGGUUGGUAUAUAAAAUCAAGGUAGAGAUGUACCCUUUUAUAGGAGAAAUGGAGGAGGAGGUUUUAGCCGGUCAAAUUGACUUGCAAGUUGAACGUGGUGGGACGGUGGUGGGCUUCAUUUAAUUUUAUAUCAUAGAUUUCUCAUAUUUCCGGAAAAAAAGAAAAUCCGGCUGAGUAAUUCUUUUGUCUAAAUUUUGAAUUUUUUUGUUUAAUUAUUUAAAUUCAUUUAUUUUAAUUUAAAUAUUAGUAAAAUAUUUAAUUAUUGCUGUUGCAUGAUGAAUAAGAACAAAGUAUUAUUUUUCUCCUGUCUCUGUUAAUUGUAAUUUAAUAUUAAUUAGUUAUUAUUUUUAUUAUAUAUAAAAAAUUAUAAUUAUCCCCUCUCUUUUCUCCUCGCUCCCACUUGCACCAACCCCUCCCUUUCUCAUCAUUAAUGAGACACAACCACCUGGACCAAUGCAAUUGGACAAAUUGCCAACCAGCUAGCAUGGCGAGCCAAUAGUAUUCAAUUUAAAUAAAAACAUUAAUUAAAUUUAAUUUUUACUUUUUCAAUUUUAUUUUAAAAAUUUUAAUUAUUUCAAUUUAAUUUAAUUUUCAUAAAAAAUUAAUAAAAUUUAACUGAACUUAUUAAUAAAUAAUAAUAUAUUACUUUUAAUGAUUUAAAAAAAUUAAAUCAUAAUUAAAAUUAAAAUAUUUUAAUUAAAUUUUAAAAUAUUAAAAAUAAUAUAUUAAAAAAUUUAAUCGAUUAAAUUAAAUAAAAUUAAAUCAAUUCAAUAUAAAUUAAUUUUCAUUUAAAAUUAUUUUAAUUCAACUUUUACUAUACUAAAAUUUGAUUUUUCACUUAAUUCAGUUGAAUUCACGGAAUGCUUACUCUUAUAUUGCUGAGCAGCUGACGAACAAGCAGUGGUCGCUCAUUGAAAAUCAGUAUUGUGAUGGUAGAUAAUGGUGACUUUUUAAUUUGAUAAAAAAAAAAUAAAAGUUUGAGUGAUUAAACUUAAAAUAUAUUAAAAAGUAAAAUUUUUAAUUAAAAAAAUGGCAAUUGACACAGAUGCAAUUAGAAAAAAAAUAAUGUUUACACUUAUAUAUAUAAUCAUGAAUAAAAAAGUUAAUUUUUUUAGCAUAAAUUAAUUUUAAUAAAAAAAAUUUAUUAUUUAAUUUUAAUAUAAUAAAAAAAUUUAUUAAUUAGUCUUUUAAUUUUAAAAAAUAUAUUAAAAUAUCUAUAAAUUUUUAUUUUAUUAUUUUUAAUAAUUAAUUAUUUUAUUAUUUAAUUUAUAUAGUAUAAAAAAAUUUAAUAAUUGAUAUUUCAAUUUUAUAAAUAUAUUUACUAAUUAAUUUUUAUUAUUUUAAAUAUUUUAAUAAAUACUUAAUAAGAGACUAAUUAAUAUAUUUUAAAAAUAUUUUAACAUAUUUUUUAAAAUUAAAAAAUUAAUUAAUAAAAUUAAAUAGUACUUUUUUCUUUUAAUAAUAUGUAAAUAAGUUUAUAUAUUUUUAUCAGGGAGAGAGCUCAAUUUUGUUCUUAAGCUUUUAGCCACAUAUAAAUCUAAAUAAAUUUAUUAUUUAGAAAAAUAUGAGUUAAUAUUUUAACUUUUUUAUUAAUAAAAUAUUAAAUUGAAAAUUUAAAAUAUUUUAAGGUCAAUUUACAAAUUUAGUAAAAUAAUAAUUGGGAAAAAUUAUUAAUAAAUUGAACAUGAAACCACAAAUAAUAAAAGAAUAAAAAUAAAAUUUUAGAACUCAGUAGUUGACUUGUUCCGUUAUAAACGGCCGACGAUGCAUCGACCAGGGUUGUAAAGCACACAAUGGAUAGAAUAAAAAACGAGAAGCAGUAAUUCACCAAAAUAAAAAAUACUUCAUUCCUCCUCAAAAAUGUAAAUUUUAUUUUAUUUUUACAUGAAUAAAUAAUUAUUAUAUAAUUAAAAUAAUAAAUUUGAUUUACAAUUUUUAAUAUACCUCAGCAUAUAUUAUUUUAUUAAAAUUAAAUAAUUUUUACUAUAAAAUGCUAUUAUUGAAGUUUUUAUUUUUAAAAUUUUUAAAGUAAAAUAAAACUUAUAAAUAAUAAAUUUCGACAUAAAUUUGGUCAAACAAAGAGGGCAGUCUUCGUUGACCAAAGAAAACAAGCAUCACUGUACGUGGACAAUUGGACUAGGGAUGUAAACGGGUAAGGUACCUGCAAAAUUGAGAGUAUCCAAUCCGAUUAUAUAUAUAAUUUUUGAAUCCGUUUUAAAUCCAUUUAAUAUUUUAAUUUUAUUAUCUGAACCCGUCCCAAAUCCAUUUAAUAAUACCUGUAUAAUACCGGAAUCCGAUUUUUUAAAUUUAAUUCAAUGACAAGAGAAAUGUUCAAUGACAAGAACAACAACUCAACAACCCAGCAAAUAAUAAUUUAUAACCAGAUAAUCAAAUUAAUUGUUCAUAAAUUCUAAAAAUCAACAGUAUUACAUUAAUCAAAUAGCAAAUAAUUAAAUUUUUUAAAAGUAUCUAAAUAAUCAAUUCAAUGAUAAAAAUUACCAAAUAAACUAGAAGGAGAAAUGUUCAAUGACAAGAAACAGCAACUCAGCAAACUCAACAAACCCAACAGUAGAAAGUUCCAGUCAAAAAAUUUGAUUGCAAACCUGAAGAAAGUUCCAGUUAAAGGAGAUGUCGCCGACAACAAUUGGGGAGAGGCAAGGGUCCAGCAUAAGUGAAGUGGGGGAAAGAAGCGUCAAUUGAAAAGAGUACAUGUCACCGACCGGAAGAGAGAAGGAGAUAUCGCCGAUGCCGACCGGGGAGAGGGAAGAGUUGUCUCCGACUGGGAAGUGGGAGAUGCCGCCGCUGGAGAGAGAAGGAGAUAUCACUAACUGGGGAGAGAGAAGAUUUAUCGUCAUUGUCGACUGGGGAGAGAAAGGAGACGUCGCCGGUGCCAACUGUCGACACUCGUCAGUGAAGUGGGGGAGAGAGGCCUUGUCUGGGAAGUGGGAGAUGUCGCCGACUGGAGAGAGAGAAGGAGAUAUCGCACUGUAAAGAGAGAAGAUUUAUCGAGGAGAGAAAGGAGACGUUGCCGGUGCCGAUUGGGCUGCCGGCAGUCGUCAUGAAGUGGGGGAGAGGCGUCGACGAAGAGAGAAAAGGGAAGCGAGGGAGAGAGGCGCGCCAACGGAGAGAGGAAAGAAAGAGUAAAAUGAAAAAGGAAAUUAGGGUUAGUUUUGUUAAUAUAGGUAAUCGGGUUUGGGUAAUGGGUAUACGAUCACCUAACCCCGAACCCUACCCGAAUCCGAAACGGGUAAAAUUUUUCAAAUCCGAAUCCGUCCAAAUCUGUUUUGUAAAAAUCCAAAUCUGUCUUAAUAGGAUUUGGGCGGAUCGGGUACCCAUAAAAACCUGACCGCCUGACAUCUCUAAACUGGACAUGGAGACCACCGUCUGAUCCUCAUAAACUCUCUGUCUUUUGUCGUACAAAAAACCGUACGUUUAUUAAUACUAUUUGACAAUUAAUAUUUUUUAAAACAAUUAUUAUUUAAUUUUAUAAUAUAAAAAAAAUUACUAAAAAAUCUAUUAAUUAAUUUUUUUUAUUAAUUUUAAUUAUUAAAAUUUUACAAAAAAUUUAAAAUAUCUGCAUAAAUUAAUUUUUAAAUUUUUAAAAAUACAUAAAUUAAUUAAUAAUUUUUUUAAAAUUAUAAAAUUAAAUAAUAAAAUUAAAAAGUUAUUAUUUAAUUUUUAAAUAUUAUUAUUAUUAAAUUUCUCAUCUGAGUCGAUACUCUCACCUUUUCUUUCUCCUUAAAUUUCAUUUAUAUUUUUUCUUUUUCUAUGGAAGACGAUCUACAUCAAUUGACUAUCGAUAAAAAAGAAAAUAUUAUUAUUCCUAUUAAGGGUUAUAUAAAUAUUUCGAUCGUCACUUAUAAUUUUUAUAUGACAGAUAUAUUUUUCACAUACAAUCUAAUUAAUUUUGAGAAUAUAUAAAUUUUUUUGGUAAAUUUAUAGCGGUAAUCCUCGAACAGUUAAUAUAUCGAAGGAUUUGGUUACUAGUUACAAAUCAAACAUUUUAUUUUUGAUAGAAAUAAAAACUCUUAGUUCUCUUAUGAAAUUUUUUCAUAAAUUUUUACAUUUUGAUGAUUAUUUCUCAGUUAAUAAACAAGAAUUGGGAGGAGAUCUUUCGUUGAUAUGUAAGAGUCGUGUGUUUAUUUCUGUAGUUGAUUUUUCUUCAAAUUUUAUUGAUUCGGUUGUUUCAGAAGGUAAUGUUUAAUGACAGUUUACUAGUUAUUAUAAGUUUCUAAAAUCGCAAUAACAAGGUAAGUUAUUGAACCUUAUUCGAAUUUUAUUUCAUAGAAACUCUCUUAUGUGGUUUUGUUUGGUAGACCUUAAUAAUUUAUACUCGAGAGAUGAGAAAAAAGUAGGAAUAUCUUUAUCAAAUUAUGGGGGUUUAGAUAGACAAUUGAGCAAUAUUUUUCCUAAAUUAUCUGGGCUUGAUUUUGAAUGAUUAUUUAUUUUUGUUAUACUCUAAAACUGAUAUUUCUGUUAAAUAGAUUCGUAAUAAUAAUACUCUAACUACUAGGGGUGAGCAGUAUUCGGUUUAAACCGAAAUAACCGACCGAACCGAUUAAUUUCAAAAUUUUGGUUCGGUUUUAUUUUUUUUCCGGUUCGGUUCGGUUUGAAAUUUUUAAAAAAUCGGUGAUUUCGGUUCGGUUCGGUUUUAGACGUAAAAUUUUCGAUUAGACCGAACCGAACCGAAAUCAACUAUACUACGUCGUUUUAAUAGUUUCCUAUUCCCUAAUUCCCUAUUUCCCUUCCCUUCCCUUCCCUGCCCUAAAUCUAAAACAAAUUUCUAUCUCUUCGUGCGUGCCACCAAGGCUCCUCUCAUCUCUAUGCUCUGCUCCAUCUGCUCCAUCUCUCAUCUCCAUCUGCUCCAUCUCUCUCUCUGUGCUCUGCUCCAUCUCUCAUCUCGCCACGAGAUUCUCGCGCCUGUGCCUCCACUCUCCUCUCGAUUGGACUGAUUCACCAUCGGCGUCGGCCGUUGCUCUCUAUCGGCUCUCCACGCGUCGUCGGGCAGUCAACAAUCUCUCAUCUCUAUGCUCUGCUCCAUCUCUCAUCUCGCCGCGAGAUUCUCGCACCUGUGCCUCCACUCUCCUCUCAACUGAACUGAUUCACCAUCGGCAUCGGUCGUUGUACUCUAUCGGCUCUCCACGCGUCGUCGGACAGUCGGCAAGUGCUUAUUCCACAGCCCUCAGUCAGUAAGUGUUAUUUUGGCAAGUGUUAUUUGCUGUUGAUUGUUGAAUUUGUGUGUUGAAUUUGUGUGCUGUGAUUGUUCUUUUUACUCUUUUUAGAUUUAAUUUUAGAACACUAAAAAUCAAUCUAAAAAGAGUAAAAAGAAUAAUGAAAAGUUUGAAAAUCGGUUUAACGGAUCGAACCGACUGAACCGAAUCGAACUGAACCAAAUCGGUUUGAUUCAGUUAUCUCUCUUAUUCGGUUCGGUUCGAUUUAUGUAAAAUACUGCAAUUCGAUUUUUAGUUAUUUCGGUUCGGUUUGAUUUUGAACCGAACCGACCGAAUGCUCAUCCUUACUAACUACUCAUAUUUUACCUACAUAAUUUAUCUCUCUCCUUGAAAUGAUAUCUUUCAUUAUUUAAUAAAAUUUUAAUAAUACAAUCAGCUUUAUUUUAAAAAAAAUUAAAUAAUAAAAUUUUUAACUAUAAAAUUAAUAAAAAAAUAAUUAACAAAAUUUUGGGUUAACUGUCAAAAUUCAUACUCCAUUUAAGCUAUUAUAACAUAUAUAUAUAUAAUAAUUUAAAAUAAAUUAAAUGUAUUAAAUUUUAUUUUUCCAUAAAUUAUAAAUAUAAUUUAUUAUUACUAAUUGAAUAUGAAAACUCAGCUGGUGAGGUGGCAGUCAUAUUCAUAUAAAGAUUUUCCUCAGGGACACAUUGUGGUGGGGCCAUCUUAAUGUCUUAUCCCCAAAUUAUUGGCGGAGGCGGCUAAAGGAUUUUCAUGCAUCCUUAUCCUCGAGAAUGCAUUAUCUGUCCUGGAAAGAUGGUUUUAACCUAUUCUUUUUUUUUUUUUUUUGAAAAAAAAAAAAUAAAAAGCAAUCUCAAAUUUUUUCCCCCUCAAAUUUUAAUGAUUAUAUUUAAUUUUAUACAUUUAAAUUUUUUUUACCCGAAUUAUAAAAAUAUUUUGAUUUAGAUCAAUUUACCCAUUUUUAAUUUAAAAUAUCAAAAUACCGAUUUUAAAUUUUCAAUAGUAAAAUAUUAAUAUUACAUUUUGAUAUUAAAAUUAUUUAUUAUUAUAAUCAAUAUAAUAAAAAUAAAAAUUAAAUUUUAAUAUCAAAAUAUAAAUUAAUAUUCUAGUAUUAAAGUUGAAAAACUAAUAAUUUUUUUAAAAAAGAUAAAUUUAAUUUUAAAUCAAAAUGUUCUAAUAAAUUGAAUAAAAAAUUAAUUUUAAAUGAAAUUAAAUGAAACUAUACUAUGAUUACUAUGGCAGCCACUCUAACUAAUGAUUAAGUUAAUAUACUGAAAAAAUAGAGAAAAUAUAAUAGAUUGCUUAAAAAUUAAAUAAUAUUAUAAAAUAGUAAAUAUUUAUCUUUGUGAUUCUUUUUUUUUAUAUUAUAAGAACGUAGGGAUAAACUUGAUAUUUUUUGAUAAAUUGACGAUGAUGUGACCGACUACUUAAUAAGAGAUAUUGUUUGCUAAUGAGUGAGAAAUUUUGCGAUAACAGACGUAAUGGGAAUACGGUGCACUGUUUCUGUUUAUUGGUAACUUUGUAUUAAGUCUCGCCCUGUCGAGGGAAGGGUGAGUCUUGGAUGAUGAAUCAGGUGUUUAGGGCAUUCGGAUCUUCCAUUCUUUGCGCUGGACCAUGUUUCUCACUUAUCAUAUCAUUGUUACGUAUUCCAGUCUCGUGGUAAUAGCUCAUGACUUAUUUUAAGCGAUUGUUAUGUAGCAUCAAAGAUCCCCGUUUGUAUUCGACUCUUAAGAUUCGAAGGAGAUAGUUGUUCUCAAGGUCUGGGGCACGUGGCCUCCUGAGAUUGGUUUUUGCUGCUCACGCCAUUUCGUCCAUUUAGCCCCUCAAUGAUGAUCGCACUGCUUAUCAUGUCGUAUUUAAAAUCUGGCAUCAAAAUCGUCUUAUAAAAGCCCUUAUUCUUUCCCAAAUAUCGUUUUUGUAAUACCCGGCUAGACUCCGACGUCGGAAUUCCAACCUUUUGACGGAAUCCCCAUUGGAAUCCGGAAUCUCGGAUGUCGGAACCUCUUAGAAGGGUAAAAUAAGUUUUUCACAAAAUGAAUUUUAUGGUUUUACUUUUUGUUUUUGUAUUAAAGAAUUUUAAGAAGAAAGAAAAGAUUUUUUGAAGAAAAAUGCUUUGGAGGGGAAAAAUCAGGUUCGGCCGUUGAACCUUCAUGCUCGGCCGCCGAACAUGGUGCUGCCGCGGGAGCUCUCCUUUCGGCCCCUGAAGGUGGUCUGGCCAGCCAUCUAUAAGAGGCCUCCAGUCCGAAAAUGAGAGAGUUUCUCUCUCCAUUUUCGGGCAAAGGUGAGUUCUUGCCCUCUCAUUAUUGAUUUUGUUAUUUUUCCUUCAAAUCCUUCAAAAUAUUCAUGAGUUUUCCCUCGUUUUUGAAGAUUUGAGCUUAAAUAUGAGUUUUGAACCUUGGAGACCUCUGGAGACCGUUUGAACUCAUCUCCACUGUAAUACCCGGCUAGAUUCCGGCAUCGGAAUCCCUACCUUCGGGCGGAAUCUCCGUUGAAAUCUGGAAUUCUGAAGAUGCCAGAGUCUUCUAGAAAGGUAAAGUGUGUUUUUUAAAAUGUUUUCACAUGAUUUUAUGGUUUUAAAUGAAAAAGAAAUGAGUUUUGAAAAGAAUAGGCCAAGGAGGAAGGACCCAGGUUCGGCCGCCGAACAUGGGGCUGUUUCGGAAGUGCUUUAGGCCUCCGAAGGCUUUGAGGGCAGAAACCAGGUUCGGCCGCCGAAUCUCAAGUUCGGCUGCUGAACAUGGGAUAGUUUAGGGGGCACGUUAGGCCGCCGAAGGUGGUUGACCGGCCACCUAUAAAAGGCCCCUCAGACCGAAAGUGGGCGAGUUUUCUCUCCAUUUUUGAGCUAAGGUGAGUUCAUGUUCUCCUUUGGUCGAUUUCAUGUUCUUUCUUCAAAUCUUUCAAGUUUUAACAAGUUUUAGCUUGGGUUUUGAAGUUGUGAGCUCAAGAUCAAGUUUUGGGAGCUUGGAGACCCAAAGAGUUGUUUUCUCCCAUCUCCAAGUUAGGGAUCGCACCAACCCUCGAUCUUCAAGAGGUAAGUGUAGAUCCACGCCUUUUUCUUUGUUUUAAGCAAGUUUUAAGAAGUUUUGAUGCUUGUGUGAGGGUAGAUGUGCAUGUUUAGGUUUAUGUGGGUUUAUGCUCAAUGUAUGUUUAUAUGAUGUUUUGUUGGGAGGUUUAAGCUAGUUUAUGCCCUAUUUGCAUGAGGGAGUGUGUAUGCAUGUUUGGGAGAGAGCAUGUGAGGUUUUCAGUUGUUUUGGAAGGUUUGGAGGCUGUUUGUGCAUGAGGAGGCUGAGUUCUGCCCUUCGGGAAGAACUCAGGUUCGGCCGCCGAACCUGCCUGUGGUGGCUUGUUUUGGCUGCCGAACCCUGCCCUCGAAAGUUGGACUUUCGGCUCUGGAGGGGAGUUUCGGCCGCUGAAGGUGCCGCCGAACAUGCACGAGUUUCGGCUCUGGAACCACUUUCGGCAGCCGAAGGUGUCGCCGAAAGUGGCUGAGUUUCGGCUCUGGAGGGACUUUCGGCCGCGGAACCUGCCGCCGAAAGUGCCCUGUUCAGCCUUCUUUUGCAUGAUUUCUAUGGUUGUUUUAUGAUGUUUUAGGGGAUUUUCGGGGAAAUGUUUAGAGUCCUAUUAGAGUAUGUUUGGUCCCUCAUUUGAGUCCACCUGUGUAGGAACGGACCUGAGGAACUGAGGUGUUCGGCAGUGAGUUAGCUGCUUCAGAGUUAGUAAGCGUCAGCCAGAGGUGAGUGGAACUGAACCUUAUGUUUAAAAAUAUAAAUCAAAUGUUUUAAGCAUACUCAUGCAUCAUGAAUACCAUGUUAUGUAAUAGGUUGUUUACAUUAGAAUUCACGAAUAUGAUGCAUUGCAUAAUAUGAUGAUGAUGAUGUGGAUGAAUAUUGAAUGAUCCUCUAGCUCUCUGUACGGUACGAUAUGAUAUGAUAUGACAUGAGAUAGAUAGGCCAGACGUGGCUGUAUUGCCCUUGGCAAUAUGUUAUGAUAUGAGCUAUGCAAGAGAAGACCAGGUGAGGCUGUAUCGCCCCUGGUAUAGUCGGACGUGUUAUGAUAUGAGCUAUGUAAGAGAAGACCAAGUGAGGCCGUAUCGCCCCUGGCAUAGUUGGACGAGUUAUGAUAUGAGAUUGUGGAGGGCUAGUGGUGACAAGUUCAUCCUUAAUGUGUAUUGUUUGUGAUGUGAUGCAUUCCAUGAUGGCAUAUUUUUAUGAGUUGUUUUCACUGUUCUGCUCACUGGGCUUUAUAGCUCACCCCUCUCUCCUAACCCCAGGUUUGUAGGGACAGAGUUAGUUCAGAAGUUCAGCAGGUUAUGGCUAUGGUUAUAUUUUGUAAUAGGAUAGUAGUGGACAUGAUGUAAUGUAAAAUCAUGUAAUGAUGUAAGAGCAUGUAUUGUAAUGUAAGGAUAUGUAAUGGCAUGUCUUGGUUAGAGUUGUGCUUUGCCCUAGUUAUGUAUGGUUAAUCCUUUUGAUACAUGAUAGUAUGUUAAUGUUUAAAUGAUGAUGAUUAUGCAAACCAAGCUUAAUGUAUGAUAUGUUGACCCAACUGGAGCAUUUGAUGAGGGCUCCAGUAAGGGGUUUUAUGUUACAGCUUUUGUGCAUGCACAGGUUAAGCUUGGAAAAUGAAAGGAAAAGUUUAAAGUUUUUAUGUAUAUGUAUGGUCAUGUAUGGGAUUAACAGGUGUACAGGAUGCAUGUUAGGCUUGCUACGGGUCCCGGCGGCCUUAUGCCGAUCUGGAUUCCUAGCGCCGGUAGCGGUCCGGUUUUCGGGUCGUUACAUCCACGUUGGGGUUGCUGUCACUCCUAGAUCUCUAAGAGGUAAGCCUACAUCAUUGCUUUCCUUAUGUUUUAAAUGAGUUUUAAGAAGGGGUAAAAGGCUAAAAAUGCAUAAAAUGGGUAGAUCUAUAGUUUUUGAGUUGUGUUAGUUUUGUUGAUAAAAGUUUGCUCUUAUGAGUUUUUAUGGUUGUUUCUUUGGGAUUUAGGCUAGUUUUUGUGCCCUUAUGCUUGAUGAGUGAGUAUGCAUGUUUUGAUGAGUUGGGUGUGAGGAUUUGAGAGUUUUGGGUGGCUGAAUGCAUAGGGCAGAAUCGGGUUCUACCUAGUUGGAGAACCCAGGUUCGGCCAUCGACCCUGUAUGGGAGGCAGCCUUUUGGCCGCCUAACCUGCCCCUGAAAGCAUGGACUUUCGGAUCUGUGAAGGGGUUUCACCGCCGAACCCGCUCCUGAAAGUCCCUGACUUUCGGAUCUGUAUGGAGUUUAGGCCGCUGAACCUGCCCCCAAAAGUCCCUGACUUUCGGAUCUGUGAGGGACCUUCGGUCGCCGAACCUGCCGCUGAAAGGCCCCUGCCCAGUCUUCCUUUGCUUGUUUCCUAUGCAUGUUUUGGUAGGUUUUAGGGGGGGGGGUUUGGGAAGUUGUUUAGAGUCUUGUAAUAGUUAUGCUUGGUCCCUCAUUUGAGUCCAUUUGUGUAGGAUCGGACCAAGGAGACCGUAGAGGCCUGCAGUGAGGUAACUGCACCAGUGUUAGGCAAGCGUCAGCCAGAGGUGAGUAGAACUGAACUAUCUUUUCAAAAUAACUAAACUUUUAAGCAUGUUCAUGCAUCACGAAUGCCAUGUAUAUGUAUUAGGAUGUUGCAUUAGAAUUCACGAAUAUGAUGCAUUGCAUAAUUUAUUGUUGAUGUGGAUGGAUAUUGGAUGACCCACUAGCCCUCGAGAUGUUAUGAUAUGAUAUGAUAUGAUACGGAAAGACUAGGGCUGCCCAUUCUACGCCCCUGACACGAUGUAAGAGAAAGACCAGGGCUGCUCAUUCUAUACCCCUGGCAUUAUGGAUAUAUUAUGUUAUGUUUAAGCGAAAGUCCUGAGGGGCUCAGUUGAGGGCCGGACACAUUGGAUUAUGUAGAGGGUUACUGGUGACAAGUCCAUCUUGAUGUGAAUUGUUUGUGUUGUGACGCAUUUCAUAUGAGCAUAUGUUUAUUAAACUAUUUUUAUAUUCUACUCACUAGACUCUUGUAGCUUAUCCCUUUCUCCUAACCCCAGGUUUGCAGGGUCGAAGAUAGCUCGGGAAGCCGGCAUAGUAGCUGGUAUAGUUUAAUGUAAUAGAAUAGUUGUGGACAUGUAAAAAUUUAAUGGAUUAGUAUUGUGCUUGGCCCUAGUUUUCUUUACCUUGUAAUCCCUGUUAACAUGGUCUUUAUGUAAAAGUUUUAAUUAUGAUUUAUGUUUGAACUAAGCUUGAGGCAUGUGAUGUUAACCAUACUAGAGCAUUUGAUGAGAGCUCUAGUAUGAGUUUUAUGUUUUCAGUAUGAUACAUGCACAGAUUGAGCUUGGUUUCAUGAAAUGUUUAAGUUUUUGUUAUAAUGUAUGAUCAUAUAUGGGAUUUUAUCACGUACACAGGAUGUAUAGUAGGCUUGCUACAGGUUCUAGCGACCUUAAGUCAAUCUGAAUUCUAGCGUCGGUAGCGGUCCAAUUUCCUGGUCGUUACAGUUUUUGCUAUCUCCUGUGAUCCUUUGUUUUCAGAAAAACUCGUUCACUACUUUUUUUUUUACUUAUACUCCUUACAAUAAUUUUUGUUUCUUUUUUUUUUUCUUGGUAUGAACAAGAUUACUUCUUCCCUUUCCCUUAACAAGGUUCUACCUCUAGCUCCUCUUUCGAUAGCCCUAUCCGUACCCCAGCCUCUGUUGUUCCAUUGAGGGAGGUUCUGAAAAACGAGGUCGACCUGAUUAGUGAUACUUUAUCUGUCCUUUUGGAGCGUAAUGUAGACUGUCUCUAUGAUACCUAUUAAAUUCCUCAAAAGGUUUUCUGUGUCUUUGCUCUUUCUCUACGCAUCCGUGUGAGUGAUUUGAUUUUGCAGAGUAUACUAUUAUGGUCUUUGAGAAGCAAUUAAAGACAGGUCUUUUUUGAUUCCUUAUGGACCUAUUUUUUAUGGAUGUUCUUUGGUUUUAUAAACUUUCGAUUGCCGAACUGUAUUCUAAUAGCUGAAAAAUUCUAAUGGCUUUUCAGUUCGUUUGCCUAAAUAACCACAUCGAACCAAGUGUAACAUUUUUCUCUCAACUCUAUCAACUAGAUAUCUACAAAAGUGAAAAAUUUUGAUAUUUUAACGGACAAAACCACAUUACCUAUUUGAUAUGGUAUCCCACCUUAACGUGGAGGAAAAAUAGAUAUUUUGUCCUUUGCCACUCGACGCUAGAGGGUUUUGACCAUAUUUUACAAAAUAGAUUUUUGGUAUUUCUUAAAGUCGUUUUGUAAUUAUCUCUCAAUAUCUUAGAAAUGCAACUUUACAAUUAUAUGAUAAAAAAAAUUAUACAUGAGGUAUAUACGUAUUAUUUCAUAAAGGUAUAAUCAAUUUAAGAAGAAUAAAUUAAAAUAAAAUAAUAAAAAUUAUUUUUAUAUCGUUGACGUCGAAGAAGAAUCCAUGGAUUACGAACAAAGAAAACAAAAACCACUGUGGAUAUUAAGACCACCCUCAGAUCAUCACAAAUUCUGUCUUUUAACGUACAAAAAAUAUUAAGUUUGUCAAUAUUUGACAAUUAAGUUAUUUUUUCUUUUCAAAAAUUAUUUUUUAUAAUUUAAAAUUUUUAUUAAAACCUAUAUAUAAAUUUAUUGAUAUAUUUUAUUUUUUCACAAACAAGUGGAGUUUUAAAAUAAUUAUUAUCCAUAUUAAUAAUAUAUUAAUUAAUAAUAUAUAGUGAUUUAAAAUAAAUUUAAAAUUAUUACUAUUUGAAAAUAUUAUAAUUUUUUAUUAAAUUUUAAAAUUAAUAUUUUUAUUAAAUAAAUUUAUCAUAGUUAUUUUAAUUGUUCAUAUUUUAACUAUAAAAUUUAUUAAAUAUAAUUAACUUUCAAUUUUAAAAUGAAAUCUCUUUUUAUUUUUAUUAAAAAAAUAUUAAUAUUUUAAUAAAAUUAUUAUAUAUUUUAUUAUUAUUGAUGGAGUAUAAUUAAAGUUUUUGUUUGUAUUCAUAUAAUAAUUUUGAGGAUAGAGAUAUCACGUGGACUAUCUCAGUAUCGUUUCAGUAAAUAAUUGGUGGAGGCGUAAGGGACUUGCAUGCAUGAAUUCUUAUACUUAAUUAAGCCUGCAUAUUUGUUUUGGAAAGAUGAUUUUGACCUUUUAUUUUUAUAUAAUUAUAUAGAAAAAUAUUUAUUUUGGCUACACAGAAUCUUAUGUAACAAGUAACAUAUUAUUAAAAUCAAAUCAAUUGCAUUAAUUUAUUCGUAAAAUCCCACACCUUAACAUAAAACAAAAAACCAGCUAAAAAAUACAUAAAAUUACAAAAAAAAAAANNNNNNNNNNNNNNNNNNNNNNNNNAAAAAAAAAAACUUGUCACAUUCUUUCUUAUCAUUCCCUUUAUUGUUCAUACUUGCAUAUAAAAUCUUCAAUCCAAGCUGAAAAUACCCACCUCGAAAAUCACUUAUUUGGCGUCUUAAUGAAUGCCAAAUGUGUAGAAUUAUCAACUUUUGUUAAGGUUUUGAGAUCGUAGGCAAUCCAGCAUUUAGAUGAUUGUGUGUGGUAAAAAUAAGCCAAGCACUUGCAAUCCUUGCUGCAUUUGCUGCUACAAGCAUUCUGCUUCAUCGGUCCAUCUCCAUUUGUGUACUUGGAAUUGAAAUGAUCAACCCCUUCUAGUUUAUAGUAGUAAAAAUCUUUCACUCCACAUGAAGACAGCUUUGGUGCCUGACAAUUCUUGCUCCAGCCCAGCAAGCCUUUUGGUGAUGGACAAGCAAUACACUGAUCAUCUUGGCAUAGCCCAAAGUUACCACACUUUUCUGGUAAUUGGCAUUGUGUUUCCCAAGAGUCUUUGGAAAACAAAGUAUAGGUCACUUGCCAUGCACUCCAAUCUGCAUUAUCUUCGUAAGUGUGUAUUCUAAGGUUUCCAUCUAUUUCCAACCGAAGAUAAGACAAUGUAGUGUUGUAUUUAGGCCUUCUAAGAGUGAGAGUUCCACCGGAAGAGGACGUAGGACCCUGGUAUUCUAAAGAUAAACCUGAGAUAAAUGUUACAUGAUUCAAAGGGCCCUCCAAUACACUUAAAAGUUCAGAAAAUGAGAAGUAAAGCAAAGAUUUUGGGGAAUUUGGAGAUUUGUAGUACAUGGCUAAGGUCUUGUCCUCCAUGACCAAACUAUAAGCACCAUUGGCGUUCUGUUUUUCAGAAGCACGACUCACAAGCUUGUUUGCAGCCCCUAGCUUUAGAGAUUGACCCACUAAAAGGGUAUCAGUUGGGUGAUCAAAACUCUGCCAUAUAAACCGACCCUUAGAGUCAUGAAGAACCAUGUUACCAUUUGAGAGUAACUUGAACCCAACAACGCCUUUAUUGGCAGUGUUGGUUUGCCAAGCAAUCCGGCCAUCAGCAUCGGCCAAAACAAGGUUUCCAUCAGUUCCAAAUGUGAGGGUGGCAUUUUCACCAACUGGGUUGCCACGGUUGGCUUCCCAAACCCAACGCAUAAGUGACUCAGACCUCACUGUACCCAUGCGCAGAGCAAGAGUAUAUGCAUUAGGAGUGGUGUUAUAAAAGCAAAGUUGAAAGGGCUGGGCAAAGGGGUCUAAGACUCGGUAAUUGGCACCAUACUCCACAAUAUAAUCCCCAAAUUCACCUUCAUUGACAUACUUGAAGGUUGCAGAAGGAGGAACAGAGGCUUGAGCGAUGGCGAAGGAUAAGCAAAGUGAGAGCAAUAGUUGGUGAAGAGAAAACAUUUUGGUUUGCUUGCUAGUUUUUGGGUUUGGUUGGUAUAUAAAAUCAAGGUAGAGAUGUACUCUUUUAUAGGAGAAAUGGAGGAGGAGGUUUUAGCCGGUCAAAUUGAAUUGCAAGUUGAACGUGGUGGGCUUCAUUUAAUUUUUUUAAAAUGCCUUUCUGUUUAUGUUGAUUUUGUUUAUAUUAAUUUUAUAUGAUCUUAUCUCUAAGCUUUAAUAAAGUUAUAAAAUAAUAUUAUAUCUUCAGGUUAAGAGAAGUUAUUGUAAAAAAUAUCAUAUAAAGAUGAACAGAAUUGGGGAGCGUAUAAAGAAUCAAGACUUUUCUAGAAUCGCACAGCUUGGAUUUUCUUGGACGCAUAUAAUUAUAGAUGGCUUCCCACUCUGGUUUUGGGUCAAACACUGAGUUCUGUCCAUAUCGACGUCUUUGAAUCCAUUCUUCAAGAGCCCACAAUAAAUUUUAUUCUUUAAUAAAUAUAUUUUUUAUAAAAAUUUCACACUGAUAUCGUAUUAUAUGAAAAAUUUUAAAUAUCAAUCGUUAUACUUACAGAUAAAAGCGAAUAAUUUUAUUGAUUUAAGCUGUUUUUAUUUAUAGAAAAUAAUUUAUAUUUUAAAAAUAUUUUUUAUAAAAAUAUUUUUCAAUAAUGUUAUUAUUAUUUAAUUUUAAUUUAAACAAUAAAAUAUAUUAUUAAAUUUAUAUCACGACUAUUAAAAAAGUUUUCAAAGUUAAAACGUUUACAGGUUGAUUUAAGUAUACAUUAAAUAUAAUAAUAAUAAACUAAAACUCAUAAAAUAUUAAUUCAAGGAAAGAAAAUGAAUUAAAAUAUUUCUUUUAAACACGUAUAUAGGUCAACAUAUCACGUUACGCUCCAUAUAAUGAUUUCGCUCCGUAAAAUUGUGAUUAUAUAUAUAAUAUUUAUAUUAAAUUAAAAUUAAAUUUUAUUAAUAUUGAGUCAAUUUGUUAAAAUAUUUUUAAUAAAUAUUUAUUUUAUUUAUGAAAAUAAAAUUUUUAAAUUCAUUUAAACAAAAUAUUAAGUCAUUAAUUUCAACAUCUAUUGAUUAUAAAAUUGUGAAUUUUAAUUUAAGGAUACGGUAUUUUUUCUGAAAGUAGAUGUCAUGCUUAUGACAUUUAAUGUAAGAUGUCCUGCUUAUGCCACUGAAUGUAAGACUGCAUAUUUUCAUGUUUUAAUUUUUUAUAAAUUUAUUCAAAAAAAACUUAUAAUAUAAUUAUUUUAUAUAGAACCAAUUUCAUAUACAUCGCAUCAUAAUUAAUAAUUAAUAUGUAACCAUGCUGCUUUAAAUAUGUUUCGUAUUUGAGUGGAUUGAGAGAUUUUAAAUUUUAUUUUUUUUAAUUUUUAAUUUUUAUUAAAAAAAAUAUUACAUAUAAUUUUUUUAAAAAAAAAUUCAUGUAUAGUUAGAGUUUAAUCUAUAUUUUAAAUUUUAAAAUUUAAAUUUAAUUAAGAAUGAUAUUGGAUUUUGCUUUGAAAUAUUAACAAUUAAAAGUUUACCAAAAAUUUAAAAUUUUCUAAAAUAGCAAAUCAGAAACGUAUGGUCAAGUUUAACAUAAUUUGAUAAAAAACAGUUAAAAUUUAAUUGUGAUCUUUUUAUAUAUAUAUAAAAAAAAAAAUUGAUGCAAAUUGGCGAAGGGAGGACAAGCUCUGAAGAAACAAAAUUAUGACGGUGUAUUUGGGUUGAAACUAAGAGCAAGGCCUUUUAGAUUUGAGGGGAAAAAGAUAAAAUCAAAGGGUGGUAAACAAUUUUGUUUGGGAAUUUAUUGUUCAUCUAUUUUUUCUUUUUACCAAAUGCAGUUGAUAUUAUAUUUUUCUAAAGCAGUAACACACUCAGUCCAGCUCAAAACACAGUGAGAUAGAGAUCCAACCCAGAUAAUGCAGUCCAGACCAUCAAAAGAUUCUUGGAGUUCCAAGCAAGCAUCACCAAUAAUCCCUGCAACCCCUCGCUCCUAACACCGCCUACAAGCACCAUCAAAAUCAACAAGCAUCGUCAAAGCCGCUAAACUGUUGAAGACCAGAACAACAACACCUAAAGGACCCAUCCACACUAACAAAUAGGCUCAAAAUCAUUGCAUAUCAAGCCAAACAAUCCACAAUCAAUAGUCAGUUUAUAAUUUAUUACAAUAUAAAAAGAAAAAUAGAUAAUAUUUUAAAAUAAUUACAAAAAUGAUGAAUAAAAAAUUAUGAGACAAAUAGAAUAAUUAAUAAAGUAAUUUAUAAUUUUUAUCUACUAUAUAUUAAAAAAUUGGUGUAUUUUAGUCAUAUAUCAAUUUUUUUUCCAAAUAUAGAUAAUAGAUUUUAUAUAUUUACGAGAAAUUAUAUAUUCUUGAAAAUUUUACCCAUUUUUUUUUCUUGAAAAUAAAUGCAGCUAUACAUUCUUCCGUGAAAAUGCUAAAAACAGAAAAAUUUACUGGCUUUGGAGGUAAAUAUUAGAAAUUACUUGCCAUAUUCUUCCUUAUCCUUCCAUUUAUUGUUCAUACUUACAUAUAUAACCUUAAGACCGAGCUAAAUAUACACGCCCCUAAAAUCACUUGUUCGGCGUUUUAAUGAAGCCCAAAUGUGUAGAAUUAUUAACCUUUGUCAAGGUUUUGAGAUCAUAGGCAAUCCAGCACUUGAAUGACUGGGUGUGGUAGAAAUAACCCAAACACUUGCAAUCCUUAGUGCAUUUGCUGCUACAAGCAUUCAGCUUCAUAGGUCCAUCUCCAUUUGUGUAUUUGGAAUUGAAAUGAUCAAUCCCUUCUAGUUUGUCGUAGUGAAAAUCUUUCACUCUACAUGAAGAUAUUUUUGGUGGCCUGCAGUUCUUGCUCCAGCCCAGCAAGCCUUUUGGUGAUGGACAAGCAACACACUGAUCAUACUGGCAUAGCCCAAAGUUUCCGCACCUUUCUGGCAAUUGGCAUUCUGUUUCCCAAGAGUCUUUAGAAAAUAGAGUGUAGGUUACUUGCCAAGCACUCCAAUCUGCAUCGUCUUCAUAAGUGUGUAUCUUAAGGUUUCCAUCUAUUUCCAACCGAAGAUAAGACAAUGAGGUAUCGUAUUUAGGCCUUCUAAGAGUGAGAGUUCCACCAGAAGAGGACUUAGAACCCUGGUAUUCUAAAGAUAAACCUGAGAUAAAUGUUACACGAUUCAAAGGACCCUCUAAUAUACUUAAAAGAUCAGAAAAUGAGAAGUAAAGCAAAGAUUUUGGGGAAUUUGGAGAUUUGUAGUACAUGGCUAAGGUCUUGUCCUCCAUGACCAAACUAUAAGCACCAUUGGCGUUCUGUUUUUCAGAAGCACGACUCACAAGCUUGGUUGAAGCCCCUAGCUUUAGAGAUUGACCCACUAAAAGGGUAUCAGUUGGGUGAUCAAAACUCUGCCAAAUAAACCGACCCUUAGAGUCAUGAAGAACCAUGUUACCAUUCGAGAGUAACUUGAACCCAACAACGCCUUUAUUGGCAGUGUUGGUUUGCCAAGCAAUCCGGCCAUCAGCAUCGGCCAAAACAAGGUUUCCAUCAGUUCCAAAGGUGAGGGUGGCAUUUUCACCAACUGGGUUGCCACGGUUGGCUUCCCAAACCCAACGCCUAAGUGACUCAGACCUCAUUGUACCCAUACGCAGAGCAAGAGUAUAUGCAUUAGGAGUGGUGUUAUAAAAGCAAAGUUGAAAUGGGUGGGCAAAUGGAUCUAAGACUCGGUAAUUGGCAUCAUACUCCACAAUAUAAUCCCCGAAUUCACCUUCAUUGACAUAUUUGAAGGUUGCAGAAGGAGGAACAGAGGCUUGAGCGAACAAUGAAAAGAUGGUGAAGGAUAAGCAAAGGGAGAGAAAUAG